This 151-nucleotide non-coding RNA is filed under the name Jeotgalibacillus soli. RNAcentral's name for it is "SAM-I sequence". It matches the Rfam family "SAM riboswitch aptamer (S box leader)". Rfam says of the family: The SAM riboswitch is found upstream of a number of genes which code for proteins involved in methionine or cysteine biosynthesis in Gram-positive bacteria. The record is from Rfam by way of RNAcentral. Lineage: Bacteria; Bacillati; Bacillota; Bacilli; Caryophanales; Caryophanaceae.
UUCUUAUUAAGAGAGGUGGAGGGACAAGGCCCUGCGAAACCUCAGCAACCUUCAGUCUUGCCUAUUAUUGUGCAAAUGCUGAAAAGGUGCUAACUCCAGCUUGUCACAGUGAUCUUUAAAAGGAUUAUGAAUACGACAAGGAAGAUAAGAA